Molecule: non-coding RNA, 869 nt
Organism: Arachis ipaensis
Lineage: Eukaryota; Viridiplantae; Streptophyta; Magnoliopsida; Fabales; Fabaceae
Source: RefSeq, a predicted model, not a curated record
CCUAACCCUAACUUUCCCAUUCCCUUUCAGCCACCACACACCCUUCACCCUUCCAAAAUCAAACAGAAAAAACCAACACUUUGCAGCAGCAAAAAUUAACCGAGAGGAAGAAAAGAGAGGAGAGGGUGCGAAUCAGGAGAGGGGAAAGGGGGAGAGUGCGCCGACGAGUCACCACCGCUCGUUGCGCUGCCGUCGUCGCUGAUGAGGGAGGAACGAGGAGAGUGUGUCGCGGAGCAGGAGGAGUUAUCCGCAUACGCCACCGUCGCGCACCACCACCACGUCGCCGACGAAGGGGAGAGAGCGAACCGCGCUGUCCGUGAAGCCUGGCUCGCUGUCGUCCGUGCGCGUCGCCGUCGAGGGUCCAUCCACGCCAUCGCUGGAGCUUGAACGCCGCUGCAACCACCGUGAGUUAUCAUCUUCAGAUCCGCCGCCGUUUGAGUCGCGAAUAGGGGAACGCGCGCGAAGGAAACCAUCGUGGAGCUGCCGUCGCCGCCGCGUUGCUGGGCUCGCCGUCGUUCUGCCCGCGCUGUUGCUGCGUUGCCGGAGCUCCUCGCCGCCGUUGCUGGCGCCGGAAACCGCCUUUUAAGUCUGUGUCUGUUGGUUAUACGGUCACCGUGAGUCUCUCUGUCGCCGUCCAAGCCGCCAUCAGAAGGAUCCACCACAGCCUCCUCUAUUCUUGUCUUCGGAUCAGUACUGCCCUUUUCCAGUUUCAAUCCCAAUUCUGCUAUUUCUGAAUAUGUAAUAGUAUUAAUGGUACUAACGAGCUAUUAGAGUUGCUGCCGCUGCUGAAAUUAACAAAAAGAGAAGGAAGUUACCGUGUUUAACCUAUGUGAAUUCAGCUAGUCGAGCUUUACUUUUCAGGAACCGAA